UACGGAGGAUCCAAGCGUUAUCCGGAAUCAUUGGGUUUAAAGGGUCCGUAGGCGGCCUUAUAAGUCAGUGGUGAAAGCCCAUCGCUCAACGAUGGAACUGCCAUUGAUACUGUAGGGCUUGAAUUAUUGUGAAGUAACUAGAAUAUGUAGUGUAGCGGUGAAAUGCUUAGAUAUUACAUGGAAUACCAAUUGCGAAGGCAGGUUACUAACAAUGGAUUGACGCUGAUGGACGAAAGCGUGGGGAGCGAACAGG
RNAcentral lists this ribosomal RNA (253 nucleotides) under uncultured bacterium. RNAcentral describes it as "partial 16S ribosomal RNA". It matches the Rfam family "Bacterial small subunit ribosomal RNA", at positions 524 to 776 of the family's 1533-position model. The record is from RNAcentral.